This 1638-nucleotide ribosomal RNA is filed under the name Triticum aestivum (bread wheat). Its description in RNAcentral is "partial small subunit ribosomal RNA". Lineage: Eukaryota; Viridiplantae; Streptophyta; Magnoliopsida; Poales; Poaceae. The record is from RNAcentral.
AUGGCUACUUCUUACUUUAAAGGGGUUUAUACUAAGGAUCCAACCCUUUCCCCGAGUGAGGCCCUCGAUUGUAAUGAGGAGAAGGUUACGGAGGAUAUGAACACUAGCUUAUGUGCACCUUUUAUUGAAAAGCGGGUGUCUGAUGCUUUGUCUCAGAAUGGGCCAAUUAAGGCCCUAGGUACCGAUGGUUUUCUUUCUAGAUUCUAUCAGAAGAACUGGGAAGUGCGCAAAACUGAAAUUAUUGUUGUGGUGCUUGAGUUCUUUCAGUUGGGAGUGAUGCGAGACGGUGUUAAUGAUACAACCGUCUUGAUUCCUAAAGUUCAAUACCCAGAAGAACUAAAGGAUUUGAGACCCAUAAGUCUGUGUAAUGUGGUGUACAAGAUCAUAUCUAAGUGCUUGGUUAAUCAACUUCGGCCACUUCUUUCUAGUAUGAUCUCGGAGAAUCAAAGUCCUCUCAUACCCUGCCACCUAAUUUUGAAUAAUUAUAUUAUUGCGUCCGAGUGUAUCCACCGUAUCCAAUCCGUGGAAGGGGAUUCGACCCCCUAUUUUGCUUAUAAGCUGGAUCUCUCAAAGGCAUAUGACUGUGUUGAUUGGGAAUUCUUGGAGAAGCUGUUGGUGAAGUGGGGCUUCUCGCACACAUGGAUUUGUCGUGUUAUGGCACAUGUCACACCGGUGAAAUAUUCAAUCAAGCUAAAUGUAAAACUAUUGGAUUUUUUCACCCCUCUGAGGGGUCUUCGCCAAGGUGACCCGUUGUCCUCCUUUCUAUUACUUUUCGUUGCUGACCCAUUAUCUACAUUGUUGCAUAAAUCUAUUGCGGCAGAAGGUUUGACUGGGGUGAUGAUUUGUUGUAGAGCUCAUAUGAUUUCACAUUUAUUGUUUACAGAUGGUUCCUUAUUGUUUUUCAUGCUUUUGGACAACGCAGAGAUGGUAAAAGGUGUGUUGAACACUUAUACUUCCUCGACGGGUCGACUUAUCAACCCUUCAAAGUGUUCCAUCCUUUUCUCUGGGAAUUGUUCAAAAGUGGUGAUGGUUCAGAUUAAGGAUAUUAUGGAGAUUACACAACAAGUUCUUGAUCCCAAAUACUUGGGCAUGCCUCUACUGGAUGAGAGAAUGCAUAAAGGUAGAUUUGAAACGAUACAAGCAAGCAUGAGCAGAAGGUUAGUUGACUGGAGUGAGCAAUAUACGUCAUCUAGGAAGAACGAUAUAUUUAUUAAAUCAGGAACCCAAGGAAUUCUAACCUAUGUCAUGAGUGUGUUCCAGUUUCCCAUCUCGGUUUCUGAUGGUUUAACUCGUAUGAUGCGACAAUGUUGGUGGAAUGUAGAGGAGGGGAAGAGGAAGAUGUCCUAGUUAAGUUGGGAUAAGAUGAGUUUACCAAAAUCAAAAGGAGUCUUGGGGUUUCGAGACAUGCGGUCUUUUAACCAAGCCCUCCUUGUGAAACAAGGAUGGGGUCUUAUUGAUACCCCUAACAGUCUAUGUGCUUGUUUGUUGAAUGCAAAAUAGUACCCUAAUGACAAUUUGUUGGACACUGUUUUCACUGGCAAUUCUUCUGAAGUUUGGAAAUGUGUGGUAUAUAGUUUAGAGAUUCUGAAGAAGGGGAAUACCUGGAGGGUAGGGGACAACACAUACAUUAGGGCAUGA